ACAUGGCUGUGUGGCAGACCUUCCAGCGCAACUCCAAACACCCUGACCUGGAGGACAAGAAAGAUCUGUUCAGUUCUUUAUCCGGAUUCCAUAAACCGACCGAAGAUGCUGAACGACGGCCAGACGAACCACAUUUCUCUCCAAAACCCUCAUUAUGACGUAUAAUAUCUAUUGAAAGCCUCGCAAUAUGCAGAAAUACGCUAUUUAUAUUUUAAAAGGAUGUAAAUAUACGUUAAUUUACGUUACGAUUGACGUUAUUCGACUUUUCUACAGUUCCGCCUGAGGCAUUUCGAUAAAAAUCAACCGAUCAGAGACACCAAACUCCGCUUAUAUCUAAUUCUCCCACUUUACUCCGCUUAAACCUCAUUUUAUUUAGUAAAACAAUGAGUAAAUGUCUCCUUAUGAGUCCAGUGUUUGCGUCUGUCCGACCGCUUUAUUUCCUGUCUUCAAACAACGGCAGUUCGGACAAUGUUCAAAUUUCGCCCUGCAUACGUCACUCAAGCGUUUCACGCACUCUGAUUGGAUGGGGAUUGUCACGUGCUCAGACAGACCCGCCCCCUGGACAGUGUGCGAUGCAUGAUUGAUGGUGUAACAGAUGCGAAACCUCUGAAUGUUUGUCACAGCAUUAUAUCGCACACACACACACACACACACACAUUCGCACGCCUGGACUAGUGCUAAAUAACUGUCCACAUGAGUACCAUAUUUCUCCAGUGAUUGUGGGAUUUAUAGAAAGGCAUUUUUCCACAGUGCAGUUGUGAAACCCUCAUUGUCACCACUUUAUUUCUUCAUUUGCAGCACUGAUUUAAUGCAUUUUGGCUAAGGGUGCUGCAGGAAAUGUACAUUUGUUAUGCAAGAUGUCCUUUAUAAUGCAUGCACGUGUUUUAUUUGGAUGCUUUUACCAUCUGAACAUCAUUUCUGUUGUAUUUGCUUUAAAAUGAAAGUUGCAUGCACAUAUUU
This 960-nucleotide long non-coding RNA is filed under the name Danio rerio (zebrafish). RNAcentral's name for it is "lncRNA si:ch1073-381j11.2 (ENSDARG00000098717.2)". Lineage: Eukaryota; Metazoa; Chordata; Actinopteri; Cypriniformes; Danionidae. The record is from RNAcentral.